GCGCAAGGGGAUUUUGUUGGUUCCUGCGAAUGCAGGCGAAGAGGGAAUGUGACACGGCCAUCUGGCCCAAGCACAGCCGCCCCCGCGACCGUGACCGGAGAGGUCUCCACGCCACUGGGUAACACCGGGAAGGCCGGAGAACCGCAAAGACCCCGCAGCAAUGCGGCGGCCUUGAGAUCCGCAAGCCGGGAGACCUGCCAACAGACUUAAUCUACG
This 216-nucleotide non-coding RNA is filed under the name Phaeobacter gallaeciensis. The record is from RNAcentral. Lineage: Bacteria; Pseudomonadati; Pseudomonadota; Alphaproteobacteria; Rhodobacterales; Roseobacteraceae.